Diorhabda sublineata is the source of this 1474-nucleotide long non-coding RNA. RefSeq lists it as uncharacterized. Lineage: Eukaryota; Metazoa; Arthropoda; Insecta; Coleoptera; Chrysomelidae. The transcript is spliced from 3 exons. The record is from RefSeq and is a predicted model, not a curated record.
UUUGUUUAUUUAUUUGAUUCGAACUCGUUUAUAUUGAUUUAAAUUAGAUCUUAUAACAAUCAAAUGAUAAUAAUAAUUAGUGUUUUCGUGGUUUAUGUGAUAAAAAGACUUUUUAGACUUUCAGUUUUCGAGUAUAAAUAAAUUAAUUUUUCUGUUUGUAAGAUCUAGGACUGCUUCAGAAUGGGUAUGUGCUUUGUUCCAGACUGUAAACAUUACAGUUCAAAGCAUCCAUGUAAGUUUUUUCGGUUCCCAAAAAACAAGACCGAGAGGAAUAGAUGGAUUUCUCUCAUAAGAAGAAGUUUAAUAUAAAAUCACCAGAAAAAAGGAAGUGAACUGUAAAAAACCUUGUGACCGAGCUACUACCAGGACCUUCAACCGAACCACUACCAGGUCCUUCAACCAAACUACUGCCAGGGUCUUCAAAACGAGAUCAUGAAGUGACUCAAAUUUAACUUGAUGCUUCACUACUGAGUCCAUCAUCUGCAUUUCAAGAUGCUGAGAAUUACUUUUUGCGUCAGCAGGUGGUUGAAUCAACUGAGAAGCUGGAAAAGUUAUCAACAAGGUUCAGCUAUGAAAUUGUGAAGAACAAAGGUGCUCGUGUACUAAUGUAUACUGGUAUUCCAACCAAUAAGCUGUUCAUGGUUCUUUUUAAUCAACUGUUUAUGACCUUAAUGAAGCUAAGACUUAAUCUUUCACUUUCCCUACUGCUUUUAUGAAUUUUAAAAAUUGUAGGAUAAUUUUGGAUUGCACCAAAAUUUAUUCAGCAAUUCCAGCAAGCAUGGAAAACCAGAGAUUCACCUACAAUUCAUACAAACACUGAAACAAAUGAAAAAUGUUGGUAGAUGUUGCACCAAAUGGUGUAAUCACCUUUGUUGUGGCUGGAGAUUUGAUAUUAGCAGAUAAAGGUUUCUUGAUUAAGGAACUUCUCCCUACAGAAGUAUCAUUAAAUAUGCCUCCAUUUUUAAUUAACAACACCACAGUUUACAGAAUCCCAAGUAUAAGAAACUCAGGAAAUUGCAAAGGCUAGAAUUCAUGUAGAACGGGCCAAGAAUAGUGUAUUUUGUUCCAUCAUAUUAUAUAUCACAAAUUUCAAUUAUCUUUCAACUGUGUGCAGCCCUCACAAACUUGCAAUAUCCUCCAAUUAAAGAAGUUGAGGAGUAUUAUUGGUAGGAUCUAUACUGUAGGUUAUGCCGUUUAAUGUGAACUGAAUUGAUUAACUGUACGGAGUUGAGCCAAAGUACAUAGACAUAUUAUAAUUUUGAGUUUUAAAUAUUUUUUAUUGUAGCAAUAUAUUUCCUUAUUCGACUUUUUUUGUAAAAAGUUUGGAAAUUUUUAUUUAAAAAAUGUAUAUUUAGAUUUUACUUUAUUUAUAAAUGACUUGAUCUGAUACAAUCUACAAUUUUCAUAAAGUAAACAAAUACAAUUUGAUUUCUUGUCAGUCUUUACAAUCUUCAAAUAAAUUAUUAAGCCACAA